UGCUGUCAGAAGAACGAACCUGGAAGGAGAAGGACGAGGUCCGUUCUCGCACCGUCCUGCUCCGCUGCCGCCGCUGCCGUCGAUUGGGGUCACACCGUUGCUGUUGCGCCCUGUUUUCGUUGAUAGAGCCACUGUUGAGAGUCUGCCGUCAGAGAAGCAUCGUCGGCGUUGCUGCUGCGAACUAUUUCAGCUACUGCCCUGGUAUUGCUCGGUCACCGCAGCCUCCUUUGUCCCUGUCUCUGAAUUCUGUACCAUUCACGACCUAUUUUGAUUAUUGUUAUUCUUGCUUGCCGCUUCUGCCUCCAUCGAAGGGAGUGAGAACGCCGUCGAACAGAAUGUGAAAAGGGAGAGGAGUUGUGUUCUUUCGCUGUUGCCGUCGUUGCCGAAACCAAGACAAAUUUACCGGAGAUAGUGUUGAUGAUAAUAAAGAACUGUUAGAGUUGCUGCUGCUGCUAGUUUGGUUCGAGUCUGUUGCUGCUACAAACUAAAACAAAAGAGGGGUUUGCUGCGCUUAAUUAUCGAAUUUCGGCUAAUCGAGAACUGAUGAGGUAGUCAACACUCAAUUGAUGGUUUCUCGGUAAAUUUUCCAAAAAUGGGU
Arachis ipaensis is the source of this 598-nucleotide long non-coding RNA. RefSeq lists it as uncharacterized. Lineage: Eukaryota; Viridiplantae; Streptophyta; Magnoliopsida; Fabales; Fabaceae. The record is from RefSeq and is a predicted model, not a curated record.